Molecule: small nucleolar RNA, 138 nt
Filed under: Propithecus coquereli (Coquerel's sifaka)
Lineage: Eukaryota; Metazoa; Chordata; Mammalia; Primates; Indriidae
Description: Small Cajal body specific RNA 21 (ENSPCOG00000007159.1)
Rfam family: Small Cajal body specific RNA 21
About the family: scaRNAs are a specific class of small nuclear RNAs which localise to the Cajal bodies and guide the modification of RNA polymerase II transcribed spliceosomal RNAs U1, U2, U4, U5 and U12. ACA68 (SCARNA21) is a member of the H/ACA class of snoRNAs that guide the sites of modification of uridines to pseudouridines.
Source: Rfam by way of RNAcentral
UGGCUCAGUUUCCUGGGGGUGUGCUCAGCCUACUCCACCUCCCCUCAGCUGAGCCUAGAGUAGAGGGGCCAGGUAUCCUUCCUCAUAGGAGAGGCAUUUAAAUAAGGAGCCUCGCCUGGCUGCUCUAGCCUUACAUUU